RNAcentral lists this transfer RNA (70 nucleotides) under Ficedula owstoni. RNAcentral's name for it is "Ficedula narcissina owstoni tRNA-Glu". The record is from RNAcentral. Lineage: Eukaryota; Metazoa; Chordata; Aves; Passeriformes; Muscicapidae.
UUCCUGUAGUUAAAUUUCAAUAACAGUGGCUUUUCAGGUCGCAGGUCCUGGAGAAAGACCGGACGGGAAU